AUGGCCUUCGCGGCCAUGAGGGGAGGGGGGUCGCAGAGAAUCGGCCCAAGCGACUGUUUAGCAAAAACACAGGUGUCUGCAAAGUCGCGCAAGACGACGUAUAGGCACUGACGCCUGCCCGGUGCCGGAAGGUUAAGGGGAGAGGUUAGGCGCAAGCCGAAGCUUUGAACCGAAGCCCCGGUAAACGGCGGCCGUAACAAUAACGGU
This 207-nucleotide ribosomal RNA is filed under the name Chroomonas cf. mesostigmatica. Its description in RNAcentral is "partial Bacterial large subunit ribosomal RNA". It matches the Rfam family "Bacterial large subunit ribosomal RNA", at positions 1747 to 1949 of the family's 2925-position model. Lineage: Eukaryota; Cryptophyceae; Pyrenomonadales; Chroomonadaceae. The record is from RNAcentral.